AUGUCUUCCUCCUCCGGCGUAUCUCACCCUAGCCUCAGUGGGCAGGUGAUCGAGAAACUCUCCCACACGAAUUACGUGCUAUGGCGCACACAGAUCACACCACAACUUCGUGGCACCGGUGUCUUCCAGUAUGUUGAUGGCACCUCGCCGGAGCCGACCAAGUUUCAAGCCGCCAAGGACAAGGACGGCAAGGACACGUUUGUGCCCAACCCUCUCCACCCCAUCUGGGUCUGGGAGGACUAG
RNAcentral lists this ribosomal RNA (243 nucleotides) under Triticum aestivum (bread wheat). Its description in RNAcentral is "partial small subunit ribosomal RNA". Lineage: Eukaryota; Viridiplantae; Streptophyta; Magnoliopsida; Poales; Poaceae. The record is from RNAcentral.